UACGUAGGGUGCGAGCGUUAAUCGGAAUUACUGGGCGUAAAGCGUGCGCAGGCGGCGCGUUAAGACAGGUGUGAAAGCCCCGAGCUUAACUUGGGAACUGCGCUUGUGACUGGCGUGCUGGAGUGUGGCAGAGGGAGGUGGAAUUCCACGUGUAGCAGUGAAAUGCGUAGAGAUGUGGAGGAACACCGAUGGCGAAGGCAGCCUCCUGGGCCAGCACUGACGCUCAUGCACGAAAGCGUGGGGAGCAAACAGG
RNAcentral lists this ribosomal RNA (253 nucleotides) under uncultured bacterium. RNAcentral describes it as "partial 16S ribosomal RNA". It matches the Rfam family "Bacterial small subunit ribosomal RNA", at positions 524 to 776 of the family's 1533-position model. The record is from RNAcentral.